UACGAAGGGGGCUAGCGUUGUUCGGAAUCACUGGGCGUAAAGAGCAUGUAGGCGGCUAUGCAAGCCAGAGGUGAAAUCCCGGAGCUCAACUCCGGAACUGCCUUUGGAACUGCAUAGCUAGAAUCUCGGAGGGGAUGGUGGAAUUCCUAGUGUAGAGGUGAAAUUCGUAGAUAUUAGGAGGAACACCGGUGGCGAAGGCGACCAUCUGGACGAGUAUUGACGCUGAGAUGCGAAAGCGUGGGGAGCAAACAGG
Molecule: unclassified non-coding RNA, 253 nt
Filed under: uncultured Rickettsiales bacterium
Lineage: Bacteria; Pseudomonadati; Pseudomonadota; Alphaproteobacteria; Rickettsiales
Description: contains 16S-23S intergenic spacer region
Rfam family: Bacterial small subunit ribosomal RNA
Source: RNAcentral